RNAcentral lists this ribosomal RNA (852 nucleotides) under uncultured bacterium. RNAcentral describes it as "bacterial SSU rRNA". It matches the Rfam family "Bacterial small subunit ribosomal RNA", at positions 613 to 1466 of the family's 1533-position model. The record is from RNAcentral.
CCUGGGAACUGCGUUNUGAACUGGGUGACUAGAGUGUNUCAGAGGGAGGUAGAAUUCCACGUGUAGCAGUGAAAUGCGUAGAGAUGUGGAGGAAUACCGAUGGCGAAGGCAGCCUCCUGGGAUAACACUGACGUUCAUGCUNGAAAGCGUGGGUAGCAAACAGGAUUAGAUACCCUGGUAGUCCACGCCCUAAACGAUGUCAAUUAGCUGUUGGGCAACUUGAUUGCUUAGUAGCGUAGCUAACGCGUGAAAUUGACCGCCUGGGGAGUACGGUCGCAAGAUUAAAACUCAAAGGAAUUGACGGGGACCCGCACAAGCGGUGGAUGAUGUGGAUUAAUUCGAUGCAACGCGAAGAACCUUACCUGGUCUUGACAUGUACGGAAUCCUCCAGAGACGGAGGAGUGCCUUCGGGAGCCGUAACACAGGUGCUGCAUGGCUGUCGUCAGCUCGUGUCGUGAGAUGUUGGGUUAAGUCCCGCAACGAGCGCAACCCUUGUCAUUAGUUGCCAUCAUUAAGUUGGGCACUCUAAUGAGACUGCCGGUGACAAGCCGGAGGAAGGUGGGGAUGACGUCAAGUCCUCAUGGCCCUUAUGACCAGGGCUUCACACGUCAUACAAUGGUCGGUACAGAGGGUAGCCAAGCCGCGAGGUGGAGCCAAUCUCACAAAACCGAUCGUAGUCCGGAUUGCACUCUGCAACUCGAGUGCAUGAAGUCGGAAUCGCUAGUAAUCGCAGGUCAGCAUACUGCGGUGAAUACGUUCCCGGGUCUUGUACACACCGCCCGUCACACCAUGGGAGUGGGGGAUACCAGAAGUAGGUAGGGUAACCGCAAGGAGCCCGCUUACCACGGUAUG